GCCGGAAUAGCUCAGUUGGUAGAGCACGUCAUUCGUAAUGAUGGGGUCGUAGGUUCGAAUCCUAUUUCCGGCACCA
This 76-nucleotide transfer RNA is filed under the name Gammaproteobacteria bacterium. RNAcentral describes it as "tRNA-Thr". It matches the Rfam family "tRNA". From Rfam's summary of the family: Transfer RNA (tRNA) molecules are approximately 80 nucleotides in length. RNAcentral also lists the same sequence under 1 other name. Lineage: Bacteria; Pseudomonadati; Pseudomonadota; Gammaproteobacteria. The record is from RNAcentral.